AACUACUCCGAUAGCCUAGUGGUUAGAGCGUCCGCAUCGGAUGCUGGAAGUCGUGGGUUUGUUCCCCGGUCGAGUCA
Non-coding RNA from Potamilus streckersoni, 77 nucleotides. The record is from the annotation of a GenBank genome assembly. Lineage: Eukaryota; Metazoa; Mollusca; Bivalvia; Unionida; Unionidae.